GAUGAAGAACGUAGCGAAAUGCGAUACGUAAUGUGAAUUGCAGAAUUCAGUGAAUCAUCGAAUCUUUGAACGCAUAUUGCGCUCUCUGGUAUUCCGGAGAGCAUGCUUGUUUGAGUAUCAGUAAACACCUCAACUUCCAUAUCUUUUUUGAAAUGGGAGUUGGACUUGAGUGAUCCCAACGCUUUUCCUCACCGAAAAGUGGCGGGUUACUUGAAAUGCAGGUGCAGCUGGACUUUUCUCUGAGCUAUAAGCAUAUCUAUUUAGUCCUCGUCAAACAGGAUUAUUACUUUUGCUGCAGCUAACAUAAAGGAUAAUUGUCCUCUUUGCUGACUGAUGCAGGAUUUUACGACACUUUAUGUGUUGUUCAACUCGAUCUCAAAUCAAGUAAGACUACCCGCUGAACUUAAGCAUAUCAAUAAGCGGAGGA
RNAcentral lists this unclassified non-coding RNA (427 nucleotides) under soil metagenome. RNAcentral describes it as "partial contains 5.8S ribosomal RNA, internal transcribed spacer 2, and large subunit ribosomal RNA". The stretch from base 1 to 120 matches the Rfam family "5.8S ribosomal RNA", at positions 35 to 154 of the family's 154-position model. The record is from RNAcentral.